GUCCACGCCCUAAACGAUGUCGACUGGUUGUUGGGGUUUGACACUCUCAGUAACGAAGCUAACGCGUGAAGUCGACCGCCUGGGGAGUACGGCCGCAAGGUUAAAACUCAAAGGAAUUGACGGGGACCCGCACAAGCGGUGGAUUAUGUGGAUUAAUUCGAUGCAACGCGAAAAACCUUACCUACCCUUGACAUGUCCUGGAGGCUCCAGAGAUGGGGCUGUGCCCGAAAGGGAACGGGAACACAGGUGCUGCAUGGCUGUCGU
RNAcentral lists this ribosomal RNA (264 nucleotides) under uncultured bacterium. RNAcentral's name for it is "partial 16S ribosomal RNA". It matches the Rfam family "Bacterial small subunit ribosomal RNA", at positions 793 to 1055 of the family's 1533-position model. The record is from RNAcentral.